This is a long non-coding RNA of Austrofundulus limnaeus, 162 nucleotides long. RefSeq lists it as uncharacterized. The record is from RefSeq and is a predicted model, not a curated record. The transcript has 2 exons. NCBI's taxonomy places the organism in Eukaryota, Metazoa, Chordata, Actinopteri, Cyprinodontiformes, Rivulidae.
CGGCACGGUUGUUACACCUAUCUGAUUCCCUCAUCACUUCUUAUUUAUCUGCUUCUUUCAGUGGUCCCUGCAAAUGAUCAACAGAUGGUGCUGAUUAAAGUAGAACCUUCAGAAGAAUGGAUACCUGGUGUGGACCAGCCCGACCCAGAACCCCUCAACUUA